RNAcentral lists this ribosomal RNA (497 nucleotides) under uncultured bacterium. RNAcentral's name for it is "partial 16S ribosomal RNA". It matches the Rfam family "Bacterial small subunit ribosomal RNA", at positions 28 to 507 of the family's 1533-position model. The record is from RNAcentral.
GAUGAACGCUGGCGGCGUGCCUAAUACAUGCAAGUCGAGCGAACGGACGAGAAGCUUGCUUUUCUGAUGUUAGCGGCGGACGGGUGAGUAACACGUGGAUAACCUACCUAUAAGACUGGGAUAACUUCGGGAAACCGGAGCUAAUACCGGAUAAUAUUUUGAACCGCAUAGUUCAAAAGUGAAAGACGGUCUUGCUGUCACUUAUGGAUGGAUCCGCGCUGCAUUAGCUAGUUGGUAAGGUAACGGCUUACCAAGGCAACGAUGCAUAGCCGACCUGAGAGGGUGAUCGGCCACACUGGAACUGAGACACGGUCCAGACUCCUACGGGAGGCAGCAGUAGGGAAUCUUCCGCAAUGGGCGAAAGCCUGACGGAGCAACGCCGCGUGAGUGAUGAAGGUCUUCGGAUCGUAAAACUCUGUUAUUAGGGAAGAACAUAUGUGUAAGUAACUGUGCACAUCUUGACGGUACCUAAUCAGAAAGCCACGGCUAACUACGUG